GCAGUGGGGAAUUUUGGACAAUGUGGCGCAAGCCUGAUCCAGCCAUGCCGCGUGGGUGAAGAAGGCCUUCGGGUUGUAAAGCUCUUUCAGCCGGGAAGAAAAGGUUGCGAUUAAUAAUCGCAAUUUAUGACGGUACCGGAAGAAGAAGCACCGGCUAACUACGUGCCAGCAGCCGCGGUAAUACGUAGGGUGCGAGCGUU
Molecule: ribosomal RNA, 200 nt
Filed under: bacterium
Lineage: Bacteria
Description: partial 16S ribosomal RNA
Rfam family: Bacterial small subunit ribosomal RNA
Source: RNAcentral